This is a long non-coding RNA of Bufo bufo (common toad), 644 nucleotides long. RefSeq lists it as uncharacterized. NCBI's taxonomy places the organism in Eukaryota, Metazoa, Chordata, Amphibia, Anura, Bufonidae. The transcript has 2 exons. The record is from RefSeq and is a predicted model, not a curated record.
AUGGGAAUCCAUACUACACCCUUAGAGGUAGUCUCACCACAGAUUUGGCUAUUAAAAAGGGGUUGUCUCAUCUCAGACAAUGGGGCAUAUCGCUAGGAUCAUCUGAUCGGUCCGGGACCCGCACCUAUAUCGAGAACAUAGCUCUGAAAGUGGUGUAGGGCGCAGCCGCCCUCUAGUCAUUCUCUAUGGAGCCGCUGAAAAUGGCCGAGAGCUCGGCUAUUUCCGUCUGGCACAUAGAAGUGAAUCGGAGUGGUGGCCAUGUCAUGUGCAGUGCGCUCCCAUUCACUUCUAUGGGGAGAGCGCUCAGUGGUGGCCGGACCAGAGUCCUCCAGCCACCACUUUGCGGGUCUCCGUUCUGGAUAUAGCGGUGGGACCCGCACCUAUCAGACAAUGGGGGCAUAUCCUAGUGAUAUGCCCCCAUUGUCUAAGAUGGGAAUACCCCUUUAAAGUAUAGUUACUAGUCAAUUACAAUUAAUUUGGUCACAAUCACCACACAGAUUAUGCCUCAAAGCAUAUUAGCGCAACAGGCAGUAAAAAAAAAAAUAAAUAAAUAAAAAAAACCUAUGCAUUGCAUAGUGGCAAAAAAUAAAUAAAUGUGAGCAGCGUGCAAAACUACAAAUUGCAAUGCACUACAAGCCAUUUUU